This is a long non-coding RNA of Vicia villosa (hairy vetch), 1451 nucleotides long. RefSeq lists it as uncharacterized. The record is from RefSeq and is a predicted model, not a curated record. NCBI's taxonomy places the organism in Eukaryota, Viridiplantae, Streptophyta, Magnoliopsida, Fabales, Fabaceae. The transcript has 4 exons.
AAUAGAAAUGGGAUUAGGGUUCAGUAUGUGACCUUUCAGCUUUCAAUCAGAUCUCCUUCUUCCCUUUCUUGUGAGCAGUGGCGGCAUCGGGUUCUUCAUCCCAUUCUUCUCUGAUCGAAACAUUGCGACGCUACCGGCCGGCCACCACCGAACAAACCAUCUCACCCUCUCCGAUUGUUCCAUCUCCGUCUCGCACUCUUCUCUUCGUCCUCAGCUCUCAUCUCUCUCCGUUGAAGACGCUUCAACCGCGUCGUUGCUGACGAUGGAGUUUCAGAUGCAAGCCAAUCGAGAAAUAUCCUCGGUUGCAUAUGAUCUAUGAUGACGAGAUAGUGUGUUGAUGAUGAUGAAGAUGAUAACCGAAAAACGAAAGGGAGAUAUUAGGAGAUGAAGGUUCUUGUAGGUUGAUUGAAAGAUUAUUGAUGAUGAUGAAGCUGCGGUAGCAUGAUGAUGGAGCUGAAGAAGGAUUCUGAAUCGUGACCAGAAACAAAGGAAAUUCAAGAUUGAAACGCUGGUUGAUGGAAGAAGAUGAAGCUCGUGAAAGAGGAGAGGUUUAAAUUCAGAUUUCUAUUGAGAAUUGGUUAGAGGUUCUCUGAGUUUUUUUUGUUACGCCUUUUUUGUUCAUCUUCCUCUCAUCCUUUUGGUUCUGUUUUGCAAGGUUUUUUGUUGUGAUGAUUGGAGGAUGAAGAUGAUGAUUUCAGAAGAUUGAAAGUGUGGAGAAAGAAAAGUGGUGUGGAGAUGGAUGAUCAUGAAGAUUCAGAGAGAGUUUGUGGAGAAAUGGUGAAGAAUGAAUCGAGAGGGGAGGUGAAGAAUGGCUCAAGGCUCUGAUUUAUAGAGAUUCUCAGGAUGUUGGUUUGAUUGAAAACUGCCAGUGUGUUGUAUGCAUUUUUGUAAGGUGUUAGCAUGUUCUUAUUUGUAACCGGUAUGAUGAACUUGAAUGAAAGGUGAUGCUGUUGGUAUUGAAAUGGUGCGCUAGUGAGGUGGUCAUGGCCAGGGUGUUUGAUGCUGUGCCAAAUUUCUGUGAUGUUGAUUCCGUUUCUUAGAAUUGCAGGGUUGGAAGGGUGUGGAUUAUGCAAGCCUAUGGCUCUCGUGCCAAUGGAGCAGUCAUCGAUAGCUGUGGCGUGUCUGAUAGCUGUUGAUGAACGUAUCAUAUGCAUGUGUUCCGGCAUCGAAAACCGCAGCGGCACUGUGUUUAUAUUGGAAGCCAACGAAGCUCGUCCUUGUGAUGAUAAAAAAAUGGAUGGUGAUGACAUAUGAUGCACACGUUCCUUGCUUUGUAACUUUGGAAAUUGUAAAGAGUGUUUUAUUUAUUUAUUUUAUAAGGACUCUGCUCCUGACUUGAAAAUGUAACGAGUAUGGCUUGCACAUGUAAUGGUACUUUACUCUUCACAUAUGACAUUUGAACUUCAGGUUUUCUUCAAUGCUUCAAUCUAAAUUCCCCAAAUAUUUUUCCA